This 627-nucleotide ribosomal RNA is filed under the name uncultured Russulaceae. RNAcentral's name for it is "LSU rRNA". It matches the Rfam family "Eukaryotic large subunit ribosomal RNA", at positions 47 to 649 of the family's 3401-position model. Lineage: Eukaryota; Fungi; Basidiomycota; Agaricomycetes; Russulales; Russulaceae. The record is from RNAcentral.
UAAGCGGAGGAAAAGAAACUAACAAGGAUUCCCCUAGUAACUGCGAGUGAAGCGGGAAAAGCUCAAAUUUGGAAUCUGGUGGUCUUUGGCCAUCCGAGUUGUAAUUUAGAGAAGCGUCUUCCGCGCUGGGCCGUGCACAAGUCUCCUGGAAUGGAGCGUCACAGAGGGUGAGAAUCCCGUCUUUGGCAUGGACACACCAGGGCUUUUGUGAUGCGCUCUCGAAGAGUCGAGUUGUUUGGGAAUGCAGCUCAAAAUGGGUGGUGAACUCCAUCUAAAGCUAAAUAUUGGCGAGAGACCGAUAGCGAACAAGUACCGUGAGGGAAAGAUGAAAAGCACUUUGGAAAGAGAGUGAAACAGUACGUGAAAUUGUUGAAAGGGAAACGCUUGAAGUCAGUCGCGUCGACCGAGACUCAGCCUUGCCUUGGCUUGGUGUACUUCUCGGCCGACGGGUCAGCAUCAAUUUUGCCCCUUGGAUAAUGAUGAGGGAAACGUGACACCUUUAUGGUGUGUUAUAGUCUCUUGUCGCAUGCAAGGGUCGGGAUUGAGGAACUCAGCACGCACCUUUGGGUGUCGGGGCUUUGCCCACGAUACGUGCUUAGGAUGUUGGCGUAAUGGCUUUAAACGACC